UACGGGGGGGGCAAGCGUUGUUCGGAAUUACUGGGCGUAAAGGGCUCGUAGGUGGCCUACUAAGUCAGACGUGAAAUCCCUCAGCUUAACUGGGGAACUGCGUCUGAUACUGGAUGGCUUGAGUUUGGGAGAGGGAUGCGGAAUUCCAGGUGUAGCGGUGAAAUGCGUAGAUAUCUGGAGGAACACCGGUGGCGAAGGCGGCAUCCUGGACCAACACUGACACUGAGGAGCGAAAGCCAGGGGAGCAAACGGG
RNAcentral lists this ribosomal RNA (253 nucleotides) under uncultured bacterium. RNAcentral describes it as "partial 16S ribosomal RNA". It matches the Rfam family "Bacterial small subunit ribosomal RNA", at positions 524 to 776 of the family's 1533-position model. The record is from RNAcentral.